Molecule: ribosomal RNA, 451 nt
Filed under: uncultured bacterium
Lineage: Bacteria
Description: bacterial SSU rRNA
Rfam family: Bacterial small subunit ribosomal RNA
Source: RNAcentral
AGCGAACGCUGGCGGCAGGCUUAACACAUGCAAGUCGAGCGGGCAUAGCAAUAUGUCAGCGGCAGACGGGUGAGUAACGCGUGGGAACGUACCUUUUGGUUCGGAACAACACAGGGAAACUUGUGCUAAUACCGGAUAAGCCCUUACGGGGAAAGAUUUAUCGCCGAAAGAUCGGCCCGCGUCUGAUUAGCUAGUUGGUGAGGUAAUGGCUCACCAAGGCGACGAUCAGUAGCUGGUCUGAGAGGAUGAUCAGCCACAUUGGGACUGAGACACGGCCCAAACUCCUACGGGAGGCAGCAGUGGGGAAUAUUGGACAAUGGGCGCAAGCCUGAUCCAGCCAUGCCGCGUGAGUGAUGAAGGCCCUAGGGUUGUAAAGCUCUUUGUGCGGGAAGAUAAUGACGGUACCGCAAGAAUAAGCCCCGGCUAACUUCGUGCCAGCAGCCGCGGUAAU